UACGUAGGUGGCAAGCGAUACUCGGAAUCACUAGGCGUAAAGCGCAGGUAGGCGGUUUGAUAAGUCUGUUGUGAAAGCUCCCGGCUUAACUGGGAGAGGUCAACGGAAACUGUCAGGCUAGAGUGUGGUAGAGGUAGCUGGAAUUCCCGGUGUAGCGGUGAAAUGCGUAGAUAUCGGAAGGAACAUCAGUGGCGAAGGCGACUUCCUGGACCAAUACUGACGCUCAGGUGCGAAAGCGUGGGGAGCAAACAGG
Molecule: ribosomal RNA, 253 nt
Filed under: uncultured bacterium
Lineage: Bacteria
Description: partial 16S ribosomal RNA
Rfam family: Bacterial small subunit ribosomal RNA
Source: RNAcentral